RNAcentral lists this ribosomal RNA (326 nucleotides) under uncultured eukaryote. RNAcentral's name for it is "partial 18S ribosomal RNA". It matches the Rfam family "Eukaryotic small subunit ribosomal RNA", at positions 1470 to 1796 of the family's 1831-position model. The record is from RNAcentral.
CCCUUAGAUGUUCUGGGCCGCACGCGCGCUACACUGAUGCAUUCAACAAGCCUAGCCUUGACCGAGAGGUCCGGGUAAUCUUUGAAACUGCAUCGUGAUGGGGCUAGAUUAUUGCAAUUAUUAAUCUUCAACGAGGAAUGCCUAGUAAGCGUGAUUCAUCAAAUCGCGUUGAUUACGUCCCUGCCCUUUGUACACACCGCCCGUCGCUCCUACCGAUUGAAUGUGUUGGUGAGGAGCUCGGAUUGGCAGCAGUUGGUGGUUCGCCACCGGCUAUUGCUGAGAAGUCCUCCAAACCGCCCCAUUUAGAGGAAGGAGAAGUCGUANCA